Long non-coding RNA from Daphnia pulicaria, 606 nucleotides. RefSeq lists it as uncharacterized. The record is from RefSeq and is a predicted model, not a curated record. The transcript is spliced from 2 exons. NCBI's taxonomy places the organism in Eukaryota, Metazoa, Arthropoda, Branchiopoda, Diplostraca, Daphniidae.
CUUUACAGGUAGAUUUAUUUGCUCAUUACACAUUAUGUGUAAUCCUUCGUUUUUUUUUUUUAUUAUGUCGUUCGUGUUGCUUGUCAUUUCAGAACGCUGUCAUCCGAGUCAUUAGUUGCAACAACAAAAUGGAGAACGCUAAAUUGCCAUGAAUUUGUCGACGGAAGGAAAGUCCACUUCCCAAAUUGUAGAAUCUUCAGAGACCAAAUGUAUGGCAGCCUUUUUCGCUACAGAGGAGGGAAGCGCGGUACUGUACGAAGCUGUCAAGAAAUUCAUGUCUACUUCAGAAGGCGUAAUGAUUGUGGAAAACGCUAUUGUGGCAGCAAUUGGAAGACGUGACUGGCAGAUCAAUAACCGUAAUCUUCUUGAAAGCCGUCGUCGCCGAUCAAAAUGAAGAUUUUCAGAUACCUCGUUGCUUAAUUGUAAUCCAAAUUAUCGGGAUUUCGGGAAGUUAAGUAAUUCUUUUGCUGGAAAUUUUUUAUCUUUAAAGUGAAUACUGUCUAUGUUUUUAUGUACAAUGUGUCAUUUUUACUGGUAAUUUAUCAAAAUGUAUUUAUUUUUGGACUAGAACAAAACAGCGCCUAAUAAAGUGAUUAAUUGCCCUUA